UCCCUGGCUGUCCAGUGGUUAAGACAUCACACUUCCAUUGCAAUGUGUCCAGGUUCAAUCCCUGGUCAGGGAA
Molecule: transfer RNA, 73 nt
Filed under: Capra hircus (goat)
Lineage: Eukaryota; Metazoa; Chordata; Mammalia; Artiodactyla; Bovidae
Also listed under: 1 other name
Rfam family: tRNA
About the family: Transfer RNA (tRNA) molecules are approximately 80 nucleotides in length. Their secondary structure includes four short double-helical elements and three loops (D, anti-codon, and T loops). Further hydrogen bonds mediate the characteristic L-shaped molecular structure. tRNAs have two regions of fundamental functional importance: the anti-codon, which is responsible for specific mRNA codon recognition, and the 3' end, to which the tRNAs corresponding amino acid is attached (by aminoacyl-tRNA synthetases). tRNAs cope with the degeneracy of the genetic code in two manners: having more than one tRNA (with a specific anti-codon) for a particular amino acid; and 'wobble' base-pairing, i.e. permitting non-standard base-pairing at the 3rd anti-codon position.
Source: Rfam by way of RNAcentral